CCUACGGGUGGCUGCAGUGGGGAAUAUUGCGCAAUGGGCGAAAGCCUGACGCAGCGACGCCGCGUGAGGGAUGAAGGUCUUCGGAUCGUAAACCUCUGUCAGCAGGGAAGAACGGUCACUGUGCUAAUCAGCAGUGAAUUGACGGUACCUGCAAAGGAAGCACCGGCUAACUCCGUGCCAGCAGCCGCGGUAAUACGGAGGGUGCGAGCGUUAAUCGGAAUUACUGGGCGUAAAGCGCUCGUAGGCGGUAUGUCAAGUCAGCGGUAAAAUCGCGGGGCUCAACCUCGCUCCGCCGUUGAAACUGGCGUUCUUGAGUGGGCGAGAAGUAUGCGGAAUGCGUGGUGUAGCGGUGAAAUGCAUAGAUAUCACGCAGAACUCCGAUUGCGAAGGCAGCAUACCGGCGCCCAACUGACGCUGAAGCACGAAAGCGUGGGUAUCGAACAGGAUUAGAUACCCCAGUAGUC
RNAcentral lists this ribosomal RNA (464 nucleotides) under uncultured bacterium. RNAcentral describes it as "partial 16S ribosomal RNA". It matches the Rfam family "Bacterial small subunit ribosomal RNA", at positions 338 to 795 of the family's 1533-position model. The record is from RNAcentral.